This 398-nucleotide ribosomal RNA is filed under the name uncultured bacterium. RNAcentral's name for it is "bacterial SSU rRNA". It matches the Rfam family "Bacterial small subunit ribosomal RNA", at positions 28 to 417 of the family's 1533-position model. The record is from RNAcentral.
GAUGAACGCUAGCGGCAGGCCUAAUACAUGCAAGCCGAACGGCAAGAUUUUCAGCAAUGGAAAUCCUAGAGUGGCGUAAGGGUGCGUAACACGUAUGCAAUCUGCCCUCAACAGGAGGAUAGCUCCCCGAAAGGGGAAUUAAGACUCCAUAAGAUCUUAGAGUGGCAUCACUUAGAGAUUAAACUACCAGGGGUUGAGGAUGAGCAUGCGCAUGAUUAGUUAGUUGGCGGGGUAACGGCCCACCAAGACGAUGAUCAUUAGGGGAACUGAGAGGUUGAUCCCCCACACUGGCGACUGAGAUACGGGCCGACGACUCCUACGGGGAGGCAGCAGUAGGGAAGUAAUUGGACAAUGGGCGCAAGCCUGAUCCAGCGAUGCCGCGUGUGUGAAGAAGGCCU